Non-coding RNA from Callorhinus ursinus (northern fur seal), 246 nucleotides. The record is from RefSeq and is a predicted model, not a curated record. NCBI's taxonomy places the organism in Eukaryota, Metazoa, Chordata, Mammalia, Carnivora, Otariidae.
CAACAGUCUGGAGGGAUAUAUUUGUACUAAUAGGACAUGGCAAUACCAAGGACUGCACGGUAAGUUACCAGAAUAUUGUUCAAGCCUCCGUACUUCUCAAAGACUUUCCUGUAUGACAUUCAAGAACAAUAUGCCCAUCAUUCCUCCCAUGGCAAAAGUCAUCAUCAACAAUAUUAGCAUCAAGAUCAUCAUUAAAAUUAUGAUCAUAAUCACCCUUGUUAUAGCAAAUAAACUAACCAGAAGCCA